CCCUUAGAUGUUCUGGGCCGCACGCGUGCUACACUGAGUGGAUCAGCGGGUCAGGUUGCGCGAAAGUGUUUCCUAAUCUUGAAAUCCGCUCGUGAUGGGGAUUGACGGUUGCAAUUUUCCGUCAUGAACGAGGAAUACCUUGUAAGCGCGGGUCAUCAUCCCGCGCUGAAUACGUCCCUGCCCUUUGUACACACCGCCCGUCGCUACUACCGAUUGAAUGGCUCAGUGAGGCCUUCGGACUGGCUCAGGGAGGUUGGCAACGACCACCCCGAGCCGGAAAGUUCGUCAAACUCGGUCAUUUAGAGGAAGUAAAAGUCGUAACA
This 323-nucleotide ribosomal RNA is filed under the name uncultured eukaryote. Its description in RNAcentral is "partial 18S ribosomal RNA". It matches the Rfam family "Eukaryotic small subunit ribosomal RNA", at positions 1470 to 1796 of the family's 1831-position model. The record is from RNAcentral.